CUUGAUCCGCUAAUAAAAGGGUGGGCUCCUACUGCCUGCUAACCAGGUGCAACACUGAAUUCCAAGGGGGCUUGUGUUGUGUUUUAAAAUUCAUCCCAAAUUCGCCUUUCCCAGAGGCGAUACUGUGUAUAGCUAGAAUGUACUUAAAAAUGAUUAGCAGGCAGUAUUUAUAGACUUUGCGUUAUUUAUGGUACACAAUUGUAUACUUGUAUUUAUUAUCAAAGUGCCUCACAAUUGUUGAUAUGGAAGAAAUGAUACAGGGGCACUUGCAGCAGAGGAUUACAAAGACGAGCUAGUUGAGUACUAUGAUGAUGAACACUAGAUUCGGAACUCUUUUUACCAGAGGAUUACAUAAGCAGAAUUACAAUUGUGAAUUGUUCUAUUUUAUCUUCAAAUAUUCAUGCUAUCUUAGACUUUAGGCAAGUGAUUAAGGAAUGUGUUUCUCGAC
This 448-nucleotide long non-coding RNA is filed under the name Daucus carota (carrot). RNAcentral describes it as "long non-coding RNA (DCAR_LNC000670)". Lineage: Eukaryota; Viridiplantae; Streptophyta; Magnoliopsida; Apiales; Apiaceae. The record is from RNAcentral.